CGACUGUCGAAGAGGACAAUCGAGGCGCUUCUUGUGUCGCUGCCGUCUGCCUUUGAUGAGCAUCAUGCACGUCCGCUCUGCACUGAGCUGCUGAGGCCUUCAGGGCAACUCGGGAAUGUCAACAACCGAGGCCGACGGGAAAGCAGGACGCCGUUGACAGAGCCAUGAGAGGAGAGAGAGAAAGCGCUCCCACAAAGGAGGUGGGGAAAGAGAGAAGCCCAUAAAAAGACUCUUUGCUACUUCCAGUUUGGACUGAAAAACAAACUGCAGUAAGUAGGAGUGAGUAUACUUCAUUAACAACUAAAACUAAAGACAACGAUGACGAAGAUGGAAGAGGGAAUGAAAGGCAGCACACUGGUUUUGUGUUGCGUUUUUCCUUACAGAUUAUCAUCUGAACCUGAAGAAUUCUAUCUCCUAAUCCCGGUAUGAGAAAUAAUCUCAUGCUUCAUGUAUGGAAAACUGGAUGAUGAAUUUCUUGUCCCGGCAACAAAACUACAGAUAUCCAGGAUGGACCUCAAAGACCAAGCAGUGAAUCUUCUAAACAAGAUUUGGGCCAAACUGCAGGGUUUGCCCAAUGCCAGCCCCGUCGAGCUCGGAGCUUUCUUCAUCCUCUUAACAUUCAUCUUGGUUGUUGUUGCCAUGGCCGUCCUGAUCUGCACGACAUACUGCUGCUGUUGCUGCUGCCGCAAGGAGAAAAGGCAGGGCGCAAACAUUUGAAGGCAUCUAAACUACACCCGUCUUCUACACCGCUUAUCCUCAUUAAGUUAAGCUAAACCACUUAUCAAACUUAAAAGACAGGUUUGCUCCGAGGUUGCUCAGACAAUUCGUGACAGGAGUGCUGCCCGUGCAAAUGCGGUCAGGCGAGAUGUGUCCAGGGGGCUCGAAGAGGCCCAGCCCUCCAACAACAAAGCAACUGACACCAACAGUGAUGUCUUGACUGGCAGCCUAACACACCCUCUGAAGUUGACUGUCAAGACAAUCGGCAUUCCUUGGAUCGGUCAUGUACAAGAAAAUCUCUCCUGGCUGGACGACAAGACAUACCCAACCAAAUCAUAUUUAAACAAGUAUACACGUAAAAUAAUAUGGGGUAAGUCAACAACAUGAUUUAGGUGAACAUGUUUUUUUCUCCACCUUUCUUAUUUCAGAACAACAUGAAGUACAUUCACAUUAAAAUGUUUUUAACUGCCUGCCUUAACUUCAUAACUGCUGUAAGGAAUGAUGUUUAUUGUAGUGAGCUGCUUUUGGAGGACAUCCUAAAACCACAAAGUUGUGCUCAUUGAGUGGUCAAACCUGCCAUCUGCUGUACAAAGAAGGAAAUAAAUUCCUUUCCAACUCGAACUUAGUUAUACAGUAUUAAACAUGCAGCCAAUGCAUAAAACAAAGGGGUUG
Syngnathoides biaculeatus (alligator pipefish) is the source of this 1389-nucleotide long non-coding RNA. RefSeq lists it as uncharacterized. The transcript is spliced from 4 exons. The record is from RefSeq and is a predicted model, not a curated record. NCBI's taxonomy places the organism in Eukaryota, Metazoa, Chordata, Actinopteri, Syngnathiformes, Syngnathidae.